GCCUAACACAUGCAAGUCGAGCGGUAACAGGAAAGAAGCUUGCUUCUUUUGCUGACGAGCGGCGGACGGGUGAGUAAUGCCUGGGAACAUGCCUUAGUGUGGGGGAUAACCAUUGGAAACGAUGGCUAAUACCGCAUAACGUCUACGGACCAAAGAGGGGGAUCUUCGGACCUCUCGCGCUAAGAUUGGCCCAGGUGGGAUUAGCUAGUAGGUGGGGUAAAGGCUCACCUAGGCGACGAUCCCUAGCUGGUCUGAGAGGAUGAUCAGCCACACUGGAACUGAGACACGGUCCAGACUCCUACGGGAGGCAGCAGUGGGGAAUAUUGCACAAUGGGGGAAACCCUGAUGCAGCCAUGCCGCGUGUGUGAAGAAGGCCUUCGGGUUGUAAAGCACUUUCAGUUGUGAGGAAGGCAGUAGCGUUAAUAGCGNCUAUUUUGGACGUUAGCAACAAAAGAAGCACC
RNAcentral lists this ribosomal RNA (461 nucleotides) under uncultured Gammaproteobacteria bacterium. RNAcentral's name for it is "bacterial SSU rRNA". It matches the Rfam family "Bacterial small subunit ribosomal RNA", at positions 46 to 494 of the family's 1533-position model. The record is from RNAcentral. Lineage: Bacteria; Pseudomonadati; Pseudomonadota; Gammaproteobacteria.